CCUACGGGUGGCAGCAGUGAGGAAUAUUGGUCAAUGGACGAGAGUCUGCACCAGCCAAGUAGCGUGAAGGAUGACUGCCCUAUGGGUUGUAAACUUCUUUUAUCUGGGAAUAAAAUGUUCCACGUGUGGGAUUUUGUAUGUACCAUAUGAAUAAGGAUCGGCUAACUCCGUGCCAGCAGCCGCGGUAAUACGGGGGAUCCGAGCGUUAUCCGGAUUUAUUGGUGUUAAAGGGAGCGUAGGUGGAUUGUUAAGUCAGUUGUGAAAGUUUGCGGCUCAACCGUAAACUGGCAGUUGAAACUGGCAGUCUUGAGUACAGUAGAGGUGGGCGGAAUGCGUGGUGUAGCGGUGAAAUGCUUAGAUAUCACGAAGAACUCCGAUUGCGAAGGCAGCUCACUGGACUGCAACUGACACUGAGGCUCGAAAGUGUGGGUAGCAAACAGGAUUAGAUGCCCUUGUAGGC
RNAcentral lists this ribosomal RNA (460 nucleotides) under uncultured bacterium. RNAcentral's name for it is "partial 16S ribosomal RNA". It matches the Rfam family "Bacterial small subunit ribosomal RNA", at positions 338 to 795 of the family's 1533-position model. The record is from RNAcentral.